Molecule: transfer RNA, 71 nt
Filed under: Actinomycetes bacterium
Lineage: Bacteria; Bacillati; Actinomycetota; Actinomycetes
Also listed under: 5 other names
Description: tRNA-Gly
Rfam family: tRNA
About the family: Transfer RNA (tRNA) molecules are approximately 80 nucleotides in length. Their secondary structure includes four short double-helical elements and three loops (D, anti-codon, and T loops). Further hydrogen bonds mediate the characteristic L-shaped molecular structure. tRNAs have two regions of fundamental functional importance: the anti-codon, which is responsible for specific mRNA codon recognition, and the 3' end, to which the tRNAs corresponding amino acid is attached (by aminoacyl-tRNA synthetases). tRNAs cope with the degeneracy of the genetic code in two manners: having more than one tRNA (with a specific anti-codon) for a particular amino acid; and 'wobble' base-pairing, i.e. permitting non-standard base-pairing at the 3rd anti-codon position.
Source: RNAcentral
GCGGGAUUAGUUCAUCGGUAGAACGCCAGCUUCCCAAGCUGGAGAGACGGGUUCGAUUCCCGUAUCCCGCU